RNAcentral lists this ribosomal RNA (252 nucleotides) under uncultured bacterium. RNAcentral's name for it is "partial 16S ribosomal RNA". It matches the Rfam family "Bacterial small subunit ribosomal RNA", at positions 524 to 776 of the family's 1533-position model. The record is from RNAcentral.
UACGGAGGAUGCGAGCGUUAUCCGGAUUUAUUGGGUUUAAAGGGUGCGUAGGCGGACGCUUAAGUCAGCGGUAAAAUUGCGGGGCUCAACCUCGUCGAGCCGUUGAAACUGGGUGCCUUGAGUGGGCGAGAAGUACGCGGAAUGCGUGGUGUAGCGGUGAAAUGCAUAGAUAUUACGCAGAACUCCGAUUGCGAAGGCAGCGUACCGGCGCCCAACUGACGCUGAAGCACGAAGGCGUGGGUAUCGAACAGG